AUCUCAUAAAAUAUAUUGUUGGAAAUAAAUUUUGAAAAAGGGGAACAAACAAGGCCUUAGUAACCUUUUCCCUUAGUUUGUUUUUCGUCAUUUAUUUACCAUGAAUUUUGCACCAAAAUUACAGCUGUUGGAUGACAUUGUAUGUGAUCACAAAGAAAACUAUUCCCCCCCAUUGGGUACAGCAUGCGUGCUUCCAUCUUAUUUGACCACCCUCCUGGAGCCCACUGUGCAAGGCUCUUGAAAAAAUCAAACGUUACUUAAUACGGGUAAAGCUCUUCUACAAGAAACAAAAGCAAAAGUAGAAGUAGAAGCAAAGAUCCUAUCAAACGAAUCCUUAGUAAUCAAGUUGAAAUGGCAAUAACUCAACGACUCAACAGAACCACAAACUUCUUGGCUAAUCAAGGUGAAUCAAAAUAUUAUUAGACUGGUUGUCCCUUGAAUGAAUGAAGUUCCAAAUAUCACAACACCUGUAAUAUCCUUUACUUUCUUGAUUGAAAUUUAAAAUUGCUGAUGACAAACAAAGGCCAAAAUGGGCAUCACGCUUAGAAACUCACUGGCAUAUGGUAACCUAAUCUCAACACUAGAGACAAAAGUACAUUUGGAAAAACUUUGGACUAACAUCAUUGCAAAACUUCGGCUUAAACACGCCACUGAAUGUAAGAAUGGAUUCACCAAACGUUAAAAGUACAUCUCCACCAUCCAGGUUUUAAGAUUCGAACUGAUAUACUAAAAUGUAACAUAUUUAAAAAGAUGAUGAGCACGACGUUUGGUUCUUGGGCUAACCUUUUUCUCCUCAACCAAUACCUUCUUUAAUUUAGGACAACUUGCAAUCAAUGUAGUAACUCCAGCUUCUGUAAUGCACGGGCAAAGAGAAAGUGUUAGGUAUUUUAGUGAUGCCUAAACAACCCCCUAGGCAAUGAUGAAAAACUAAGACCCGUUCGUUUCAUAAGCUUUAAGCCCGGGAUUGAAAUAUGUAUUAAAGAUCCACACCACAAUUGUAGUAACCCAAUUAAGUUGGGUAUUUAGAGGGAA
This 1032-nucleotide long non-coding RNA is filed under the name Olea europaea (common olive). RNAcentral's name for it is "long non-coding RNA (OEUR_LNC013744)". Lineage: Eukaryota; Viridiplantae; Streptophyta; Magnoliopsida; Lamiales; Oleaceae. The record is from RNAcentral.